GUGUCAGCAGCCGCGGUAAUACGUAGGGGGCAAGCGUUAUCCGGAAUUAUUGGGCGUAAAGAGUGCGUAGGUGGUUUUGUAAGCGCGAGGUGAAAGGCUAUGGCUCAACCAUAGUAAGCCUUGCGAACUGCAAGACUUGAGUGCAGGAGAGGAAAGUGGAAUUCCUAGUGUAGCGGUGAAAUGCGUAGAUAUUAGGAGGAACACCAGUGGCGAAGGCGACUUUCUGGACUGUAACUGACACUGAGGCACGAAAGCGUGGGGAGCAAACAGGAUUAGAAACCCCCGUAGUCC
This 291-nucleotide ribosomal RNA is filed under the name uncultured bacterium. RNAcentral describes it as "partial 16S ribosomal RNA". It matches the Rfam family "Bacterial small subunit ribosomal RNA", at positions 505 to 796 of the family's 1533-position model. The record is from RNAcentral.